AUGAUUCAAUUCAAUACGGCAUCAGGUCUCCCUGCUGCAAGAUUGAUUCCCAGCCCGUGGAAGAAAAGUUUUAGAAUCAUCAUUCACAAACUUUGUGCCCCCUCAGCCUCAGGCUCGAUCCAAGGUGAGUGUCCUGAGAUAUUUGGAGAGCUGGUAAAUGCGAGACCUUUACACUUAUUUUACAUUUACUGUCUUGACAUUUUAACAAAUCCGGCCAAAUAUUGAAAUAUUUUGGUCAAUGUGAUGUUGCAUGUGGCUCGCAGGCGGAUCCUCUUUCACCAAAUUGCUACGCUUACGUCUUAUAUUUAAGACGCUAGGCCAAAGAUUGUUCUAUUUCUUUCUGAGCAAAACACGCUGCUCAGAAAGGCUGCUAAUUGCAUAUUUGGCGAUGACUUGAGAGCUCGAUACAGCUUCACAAUUUUGAAUGAUUGUCUAUUGUCCACAGCUGAAGCCUCAUUAAGGGACAGCGCAGGAACUCCAACUCAGCCUCUUGCACAGCAACCUCUGCUCUCCUAAGGAGUGGGAAAGAACAUUUAAAUUAGCCUUAAGGAGGAAUUCAUCUUAAUGACUUCUAUUCAUUAACAACUAAUUAAAUAUUCACAUGCAGGCCUCAGUCUAGCCCUACACACCCAAUCUUUGUCUUUGUCUCUUAUUCCAUUGGUGGUCUGCUGCACACAGUACUCUGCUUUACGUGAGAGGAAGUCAAAAGUAAAUCGCAUUGUGCCACUGCAUGUAUGAGUUAUGGGCUUAGCAAAAUGGGCACCUAGUCAAUAGUAUGGCAUGAUGGAAAUUAUAUUUCGCUGAGGAGAUAAUUGAAAAUCAAAUCACCAGCAAUUACGCUUUACUGCUGACCAUGAAAAUUGCUUAUAUGGGUACGUAUUGUGAAUGAUUUAGGUUAAACACUGAAGAAUUUCCAAGCCCUGUUUUCAAAUUUCACACGUGAAACGCUGAGAUACCGUUUCUAUAUAAUCAUGAAAUAAAAACUUUUGCUCCCCCCCACCUCAACUGCUGUUUUGAGAGAGACAUGGGGAAAUUUCUUGAUAAAGACAUUUGAAGAUUCCUUUUCCAUGAUUUACCAGGCAGCUGGCCGGCCACAUGGGCCCCAAUCAAUAAGUUUAAGUCACAUUGUUAGCUCCGUAGGACAGAAUUAAUUUUACAGAGCUAAGAGAUGAGUAAAGCCCUCCACUACUGUCAAAUAUAUAGAUCAGCAUGCGGGGGGAGGAGAUGAAAACACUAUUGCAUCCUACACCCAAAGAGGUUAUGUGCAAUUUUAGUGAAUAUGGCCCAUUUAGUUUAGAAUAAGAUGUAGUUUUGUUGCCUUGCAACGCGUUAAAGAGAUCACGACUCUGUCUUAUUACACCUUAUGGCUUUACUGUAUAUCUUGCUAUGAAUCCAAAUCUUUUUAAAUUGCAAAGCAAUAGAAAUAAAACUAGGGGAAUAGUUUUAAUUUCAUUUUAUUACAACGAUGAUCAUGUUACACAUCAACUGCGUCUUUUGAUUAUGUGCAUCAUAUAACAAGAACAACGCUGUGGCCAUCAGUUCCCUCACAUUUCCAACUUCAUUUCCUUUGACUAUUCAAAAUUAUUGAGGUCCAAGCUAAUUUUCUCCUCUCUAACAAUGUAGACAGUAGUUAUGAAUGGAGGUUAUAUUGCACAGACCAGUGAAGCUCUGUGAUUGCAUUCUCCGUCUCCCUCUCUCUCUCUCUCUCUCUUACUUCCAGGUGUCGUUGGUGAAAGUGAUUGACAGAACUCACAAUAGAUUUUGAAAUAACAGGUUUGUUUAAUGUCUGAACUGUGCUGGCAUAAUCAAAUCAUCGUCAGACAUCAUCAAACAGCUCAAAGUCCCCGACCAAUCACUCAUUAAUCAGUUACCUCUGAUGGUUUAUUAAGAUGUGGGGAAAAAAAAGGUGUUAAUUGUAUGAAGGAAUUCAAUAAUUCAAACGGUGACACAUUAGUCUGCAAAUGAACAAGUUAUCACAGCGCGCGUAUUCAAACUGACUCGUGCUCUCCCUGUUUAAUUGCGCCAAUCGUCAUUCUGAGUCAUUAUUUUUUUUCCCGUUUUCCCCUUGGCGAGUAAUUACGUUGACCUUGCUGUUGUAUGUGGCUGUUUGAAUUAGAUUUGUUUAAAACGGAUAUCGCUAUAGACGCUGCUUUUUAUUUACCAUAUCCAAAUAUGUUAAGAUUUUGAAUACGAAGUUCACUGCUGCAAGAGGUCAGCGGUAGAAGUACCGUAGACCUGGUAGGUUCGUCCAGUUUGUUUAUUUCAAUGGAUUUGCCCAUAUUCUGUGAAGUAGUGGAGCUAAUUCUCUGCCCUGUCACCCUCACCUUAGCCAUUACCUUUAAAGCUCAUCAACCAUCAAAAUAAACCACAAUGCUCUGAGGCGAAAAGUAUUUGUGCCGUAUCUCCUUUCACCAGUAGAGGCGCUAAUUUAGGAAAUGGUCGAUUUGGUCGUAUUACAGCACAUGCUACAUAGUUUGUCGUACGAGUUGGAGGACUUUUUGCUUUUAUUUCUGGUUUGUUUGUUUUUUUGUUUGUUUUUUUAAUUUGAAAUAAUUGAAUGAAUAGAUAACGGAUUUUAAAAGCCAUCCUAUGACCCAACCACUGGCACGUACAGCGGGACAUGGAUUAAGCCGCGUGAUGAGCCAGGUUGUAUUCACCUCUCCGUCUCUCUCUUUCACCCAGUGAGGGGAGGCUUGGAGCCGCAGCCUCCUUUUCCACUCCACUAGAGCCUAUCACUGCUGCAGCCGGAGGGCCAGGACCCGGCAGCAUGGCGGCAGCUGAGGCCGGUGCAGAGGGGGGAACAGCUGAGAGGGAACAGGCAAGCAGCUAGAGGUGAAAGCAGCAGCAGCAGCAGUCGCAGGAGGACGGAGAUGGAUGAACAGUACUCCCCAGGAUCAAUCAGGCACUCAUAGCCACAGCAGAUCAUCUUUCUCCAGGAGCAUGUUACUGCUGCUGCACCACUUCGUCCCUGCCCCCUAUAAACCACAUCACCCCACUUGCCCGGGAGGAGAGAGGGAGGAAACAUGAGAGGGAAAGUUCGCUGCUGUAUCUCCCUCACAGAGAGGGGGAGGGAGGGAGAGAGAAGGGUUUGGAGAAGGGGUCGGUCGGAGGAUGUAUUGACUGUUUUCACUGUGAUAUAAUUGCAAUUAAAGGUUGCAAACAGCCCAGUGGAUCAGUUUCUCUGCUGUCACCGGGACACAUGGCAGCGCUGAUGCAUCCCCACACACUUCCUCAGAUAGCAGGGGACGAUUGCUAAUGAUGUCUGCCCCUGCAGACUAUGUGUAGAUUAGUGCCAUGGCGCGCAGUCGUUUAGCGCCACAACUCCUCGCACAUCAGACAUUAACAAGUAUUUUACUGAGAAAUAACACCACAGCCCCGAAGAGACGACAGCAGGAGGAGCAGUGUUAACUCGCUGUUACACUCUUAGGUCAGGAAGAGACUGGAUUUGAGAUCAGAUAAAUAAGUGCGUGUAAAUGAGAAUUUGCCCGUUUGUUCAUAUGAAAAUGUUGUCAUUCCUAUUUUGUCCUUGAUGCAGUUUAUUUUUUUUCUAAUGCUUGAAUAGUUGAAGGAUGUUUUGCUUUGAUAUCUUUAAAUUCAGAACACCGACUUUAUGACACUGCUGCUGAAAACCCCAUAAAAAUAUAAUUAAAUGAAACUUUGAAUAAAUCAAGGUUGUACAUAGAUGAAUGAAGUUGGGCAAAUGAAGGUGUUCUGCACAUUACAAAUCAACCUAAUAAAUAUCUUAUCACCCAACUCUAUACUGUAGUUCCCCUCCACUCCACAGGGUUUUGGCAUUUUCAGGUUAUUUUCUUAUGAUAUAUCAGCUUGCAGCAACUUUUUAUCUAUUAUACAUAGAUAGAGGACACUACUUCUACUCUGAAAUGUCUUUGCAUUGUUUUAAUUUUCAAAUAUUUUCAAAUCUAAUUUGUUGUGCAGUAUAACUUUAUACCACAUUCUUUGCCCUAUCACUGUUCACCUGCCUCACGUGCCUUAACUUAUUAUUCAUACACCGUAGAUUGAGGUCAUCAUAUUGUUUAUUCGUCUUGUUUUAUCUUAUUUUCUAAUGCUGCUGGUCUUUUGAGAAUUAACAAGAAUAAUUUUGUUGCAUGCCUUGAUUACGAGUAACGCAUCAACACUGCUUCAAAGACACAGGUGGAAAGAAAAACAAGUAUGUACAAAUACAAUGAAGGUACACUGAGCAAAUAUUUCUGUUAGUGCCGUUCCCAAGUGUGCAGGACUGCUUUUGUCCUUAUUAUUUGUAUCUGCAAAUAUCUCCGCUUUUCUUUUUUUUACUUCUGAAAGCAAUCUCAGUUUCUGUCCAACAUUUUGCAGCUCAGAGAAAAUUGUGGAUCACCACCACAUACCAGAACUAAUAACAAUGCAUGCUAGAUUGAAUGACUGUACAUACUGGCAGCAGUGUCAACUUCUUUCAAAGGGGAUUGAAAUUCAGACUAACAGUUUGAUCCUUUCAAAUAGUGUCGCAUCGACAUAAUCAACAGUUACCCUGCGAUAACCCUGCCUGACUAUCCAUCUCACACCCAAUCAGUGCAUCCCAUUAAAUUAUUUUUUUUUGGAACCUCAAUUUCCUGCCCGUGUAUGAGAGCCAUCUUUAUGGGAACUAAAUCGACUGUUCAUUAACGAGAGGAAGCUGUAUCAAGAACAAACAUCUUUAAUUAACACAUCCACCAGCACUUCCUGUCUUUGAUCUCUCCAUCUGAUUUAUG
Scophthalmus maximus (turbot) is the source of this 4724-nucleotide long non-coding RNA. The record is from Ensembl. NCBI's taxonomy places the organism in Eukaryota, Metazoa, Chordata, Actinopteri, Pleuronectiformes, Scophthalmidae.